CCCUUAGAUGUUCUGGGCCGCACGCGCGCUACACUGAUGCAUUCAACGAGUCUAAAACCUGCUCUGAUAGGGGUGGGUAAUCUUUUGAAUGUGCAUCGUGAUUGGGAUAGAUGAUUGCAAUUUUUCAUCUUCAACGAGGAAUGCCUAGUAAACGCAAGUCAUCAGCUUGCAUUGAUUACGUCCCUGCCCUUUGUACACACCGCCCGUCGCUCCUACCGAUUGAAUGAUCCGAUGAAUAUCAUAGACUGAGAGUAUAAGCAGGUUCGCCUGUCUUUGUUUCUCGGGAAGUGAAGUAAAUCUUAUCAUUUAGAGGAAGGAGAAGUCGUAACA
This 330-nucleotide ribosomal RNA is filed under the name uncultured eukaryote. Its description in RNAcentral is "partial 18S ribosomal RNA". It matches the Rfam family "Eukaryotic small subunit ribosomal RNA", at positions 1470 to 1796 of the family's 1831-position model. The record is from RNAcentral.